GACGAACGCUGGCGGCGUGCCUAAUACAUGCAAGUCGAACGCAGUGGGGACGGGUGAGUAACACGUGGGUAACCUCCCAUGAGAGGGGAUAACACUUGGAAACCGGUGCUAAACCGAUACUGAUGGAUGGACCCGCGGGGCAUUAGCUAGUUGGUGAGGUAACGGCUCACCAAGGCCACGAUGCAUCGCCGGUCUGGGAGGGUGAUCGGCUACACUGGGACUGAGAAACGGGCCAGAUGCCUACGGGAGGCAGCAGUAGGGAAUCUUCGGCAAUGGACGAAAGUCUGACCGAGCAACGCCUCGUGUGUUAAGAAGGUUUUCGGAUCGUAAAACUCUGUUGGUAGAUAAGCGGUAUCUAACCAGAAAGCCACGGCUAACUACGUGCCAGCAUCCGCGGUAAUUC
This 403-nucleotide ribosomal RNA is filed under the name uncultured bacterium. Its description in RNAcentral is "partial 16S ribosomal RNA". It matches the Rfam family "Bacterial small subunit ribosomal RNA", at positions 28 to 526 of the family's 1533-position model. The record is from RNAcentral.